AUUGAACGCUGGCGGCAGGCCUAACACAUGCAAGUCGAACGAGUGGCGGACGGGUGAGUAAUGUCUGGGAAACUGCCUGAUGGAGGGGGAUAACUACUGGAAACGGUAGCUAAUACCGCAUACCAUCAGAUGUGCCCAGAUGGGAUUAGCUUGUUGGUAGGGUAACGGCUCACCAGGGCUACGAUCCCUACCUGGUCUCCGAGGAUGACCAGCCACGCUGGAACUGAGACAAGGUCCAGACUCCGACGGGAGGCAGCAGUGGGGAAUAUUGGACAAUGGGCGAAAGCCUGAUGCAGCCAUGCCGCGUGUAUGAAGAAGGCCUUCGGGUUGUAAAGGACUUUCAGCGGGGAGGCGUUACCCGCAGAGGAAGCUCCGGCUAACUCCGUGCCAGCAGCCGCGGUAAUAC
This 406-nucleotide ribosomal RNA is filed under the name uncultured bacterium. RNAcentral describes it as "partial 16S ribosomal RNA". It matches the Rfam family "Bacterial small subunit ribosomal RNA", at positions 30 to 526 of the family's 1533-position model. The record is from RNAcentral.